This is a non-coding RNA of Dallia pectoralis (Alaska blackfish), 72 nucleotides long. The record is from the annotation of a GenBank genome assembly. NCBI's taxonomy places the organism in Eukaryota, Metazoa, Chordata, Actinopteri, Esociformes, Umbridae.
GGCAAGGUGGCCAACUGGUAAGGCGUCGGUCUCGUAAACCGAAGAUCAUGGGCUCAAUCCCCAUCCUUGCCU